RNAcentral lists this ribosomal RNA (484 nucleotides) under uncultured bacterium. Its description in RNAcentral is "partial 16S ribosomal RNA". It matches the Rfam family "Bacterial small subunit ribosomal RNA", at positions 30 to 507 of the family's 1533-position model. The record is from RNAcentral.
AUUGAACGCUGGCGGCAGGCCUAACACAUGCAAGUCGAGCGGAUGAAGGGAGCUUGCUCCUGGAUUCAGCGGCGGACGGGUGAGUAAUGCCUAGGAAUCUGCCUGGUAGUGGGGGAUAACGUCCGGAAACGGGCGCUAAUACCGCAUACGUCCUGAGGGAGAAAGUGGGGGAUCUUCGGACCUCACGCUAUCAGAUGAGCCUAGGUCGGAUUAGCUAGUUGGUGGGGUAAAGGCCUACCAAGGCGACGAUCCGUAACUGGUCUGAGAGGAUGAUCAGUCACACUGGAACUGAGACACGGUCCAGACUCCUACGGGAGGCAGCAGUGGGGAAUAUUGGACAAUGGGCGAAAGCCUGAUCCAGCCAUGCCGCGUGUGUGAAGAAGGUCUUCGGAUUGUAAAGCACUUUAAGUUGGGAGGAAGGGCAGUAAGUUAAUACCUUGCAGUUUUGACGUUACCAACAGAAUAAGCACCGGCUAACUUCGUG